RNAcentral lists this ribosomal RNA (252 nucleotides) under uncultured bacterium. RNAcentral's name for it is "partial small subunit ribosomal RNA". It matches the Rfam family "Bacterial small subunit ribosomal RNA", at positions 26 to 285 of the family's 1533-position model. The record is from RNAcentral.
AGGAUGAACGCUAGCGGCAGGCCUAAUACAUGCAAGUCGAACGGUUUGUAGCAAUACAGAUAGUGGCGCACGGGUGCGUAACACGUAACUAACCUACCUAUAACUGGGGGAUAGCCCGCCGAAAGGCGGAUUAAUACCGCAUAAGCUUGUGAAGUGGCAUCACUUUAUUAGUAAAGAUUUAUUGGUUAUAGAUGGGGUUGCGGGUCAUUAGCUAGUUGGUUGGGUAAUGGCUGACCAAGGCGACGAUGACUA